CUGCCAAGGGCAUGGCUGGGUAGCUAUGUACGGAAUGGAUAAGCGCUGAAAGCAUCUAAGCGCGAAGCCAACUUCAAGAUAAGAUUUCCCACCGCAAGGGUAAGACUCCAGAAAGACUAUCUGGUUGAUAGGUCGAAGGUGUAAGUGCAGCAAUGUAUUUAGCUUAUCGAUACUAAUAGGUCGAGGACUUGACCAA
Molecule: ribosomal RNA, 196 nt
Filed under: Clostridioides difficile
Lineage: Bacteria; Bacillati; Bacillota; Clostridia; Peptostreptococcales; Peptostreptococcaceae
Description: partial 23S ribosomal RNA
Rfam family: Bacterial large subunit ribosomal RNA
Source: RNAcentral